RNAcentral lists this ribosomal RNA (798 nucleotides) under uncultured Glomus. Its description in RNAcentral is "SSU rRNA". It matches the Rfam family "Eukaryotic small subunit ribosomal RNA", at positions 314 to 1114 of the family's 1831-position model. The record is from RNAcentral. Lineage: Eukaryota; Fungi; Glomeromycota; Glomeromycetes; Glomerales; Glomeraceae.
AUCAACUUUCGAUGGUAGGAUAGAGGCCUACCAUGGUGGUAACGGGUAACGGGGUGUUAGGGCACGACACCGGAGAGGGAGCCUGAGAAACGGCUACCACAUCCAAGGAUGGCAGCAGGCGCGCAAAUUACCCAAUCCCGACACGGGGAGGUAGUGACAAUAAAUAACAAUACGGGGUUCUUUAGGAUCUCGUAAUUGGAAUGAGUACAAUUUAAAUCUCUUAACGAGGAACAAUUGGAGGGCAAGUCUGGUGCCAGCAGCCGCGGUAAUUCCAGCUCCAAUAGCGUAUAUUAAAGUUGUUGCAGUUAAAAAGCUCGUAGUUGAAUUUCGGGGUUAGUAGGUUGGUCAUGCCUCUGGUAUGUACUGGUCUCACUGAUUCCUCCUUCCUUAUGAACCGUAAUGCCAUUAAUUUGGUGUUGCGGGGAAUUUGGACUGUUACUUUGAAAAAAUUAGAGUGUUUAAAGCAAGCUAACGCUUGAAUACAUUAGCAUGGAAUAAUGAAAUAGGACGUUCGAUCUUAUUUUGUUGGUUUCUAGGAUUGACGUAAUGAUUAAUAGGGAUAGUUGGGGGCAUUAGUAUUCAAUUGUCAGAGGUGAAAUUCUUGGAUUUACUGAAGACUAACUACUGCGAAAGCAUUUGCCAAGGAUGUUUUCAUUAAUCAAGAACGAAAGUUAGGGGAUCGAAGACGAUCAGAUACCGUCGUAGUCUUAACCAUAAACUAUGCCGACUAGGGAUCGGAUGAUGUUAAUUUUUUAAUGACUCAUUCGGCGCCUUACGGGAAACCAAAGUGUUGGGUUC